This 73-nucleotide transfer RNA is filed under the name Felis catus (domestic cat). It matches the Rfam family "tRNA". From Rfam's summary of the family: Transfer RNA (tRNA) molecules are approximately 80 nucleotides in length. Their secondary structure includes four short double-helical elements and three loops (D, anti-codon, and T loops). Lineage: Eukaryota; Metazoa; Chordata; Mammalia; Carnivora; Felidae. RNAcentral also lists the same sequence under 2 other names. The record is from Rfam by way of RNAcentral.
ACCUGGCUGGCUCAGUCAGAGGAGCACGUGAUUCUCGAUCUUGGGGUUGUGAGUUCGAGCCCCACGUUGGGUG